GUGGUAUUCAAAAACAAAAAGAAAGAAACGAAAUUCAAGAACCCCAGAUCAAUAGAAUCCUUGAAGAAGCAUAAAUAGAGAUUGGGGUGGGAAAAUAAUCACAUAAGAUCUUUAAUAAACCCUAAAAGAGGAGGAAUUUUAGGUUAGAGAAGAAGCGGAGCAAAGUUAGGGAUAAAUUUGGAGUGAAAAUGGAUUAUCGAAAAACCCUCGAGUUGGGAACUGAGUGGGGGAUCGAGGGAGAACAGAUACAGAGGUGAAACGAUCAUGCACAGUGGGGUUUA
RNAcentral lists this unclassified non-coding RNA (281 nucleotides) under Hevea brasiliensis (rubber tree). The record is from RNAcentral. Lineage: Eukaryota; Viridiplantae; Streptophyta; Magnoliopsida; Malpighiales; Euphorbiaceae.